This is a long non-coding RNA of Globicephala melas (long-finned pilot whale), 1315 nucleotides long. RefSeq lists it as uncharacterized. Lineage: Eukaryota; Metazoa; Chordata; Mammalia; Artiodactyla; Delphinidae. The record is from RefSeq and is a predicted model, not a curated record.
UCCUCCAGCUGCUGUGCUGAAAAUAGACUAGGGCAUCAGGGUGAAAAUCAGAGGGACAAUUAUAUGGCUAGUGCCGAGUCCAGGCUGGAGGGGCCGGUGGCUUGGGCUGUGGCAGUUACACUGGAGGUGGUGAGAAGUGGUCAGUCGCCAGUUAUCUCUGAAGGUAGAGCCCAUGGGAUUUGCUGGUGGACUGGAUGUGGUACGUGAGAGAAGAGGAGAGUCGGAGAUGAUCCCGAGGAUUUUGUCCUGAGCAACUUCAAGGGUAGAGUUGACAUUUCCUGAGACAGUGAAAGUGCUGGAGGAGCUGUUUAGAGGGAGAGCUGGAAUGGGAAGAGUUCAGUUCAGGAUAUUAUUAAGUUUGAGAUUCUCAUGACGAUCUCAGUAAAGAACUCGAGGCGGGCAUUUCGGUGCUGGUCUGCCAUUCCAGGGAGGCGUCCAGACUAAGAAUAUAAAAGUGGGCGGAGAUGGUGUUGAAAAAUCCCAGACCAGACACAUGAACUGAGCGUGUAUGAGGUUAGAAGAAAAGUCCCAGCACAGAGCUGUAGGGCACGCCAAGGUCUAGAAAAGGAGGCAGGAUCCAGGCGGGAGAUGAAGAUGUAACCAGUGAGAUGGAAGGAAAACCAGAAUCAACGGUUAUUCUGGAAACCAAGCCAGGAGGCGCUCGAGAAAGAGGGAACCAUCAACCACGUCAAGUGCUGUGGGUAAGUCAGACCAGAUGAGGCGUGACUGUUGUCCACUGGGAAGGUGCCCGAGGCCCUAACUGGAGCUGUUCAGAGGAGCGAUGCCCCAUCAGGGCAUGUCAGGAACAACGGUGUUUAUAUUUAAUUCCAUGAGGGAUAUCGUGUUAUAUUUCUGUUUUACAAAUCAGAGAACUGAGGCGCAAGAGAGGGUUGAACACAGCUGGAUUGGAAGUCAGACGGUCUACUAGCUCCAGAGGGCAUGCCCUUCAAAGCCUGGUGUGCUUGGAACCUGAAGGCUCUCAAAUCACCAGGGGCAGUGGAGAGCCGGGAGAAGCCUGCUGGCAUCUUAGGACAGCAAUCACUAGAGGAUUCUCCACCUUGCUUCUUUGGAGCCAGGGGAAAGCAGGAGCAGCCAGCAUGCAGGCGACCAUUUACCCUUUCCAGGCCUGGGAGAGAGAAAAAGCAGCUGACCCAAGGCCCUGGGCCCUCAGCUCUCAUGAGCUGACAUCCGAGAAUCAGCUGUGUGCAGUGGAGAACACCGCUGACUUGGAAUCUGAAAGCCAGGCAGGAGUGUGAAUAUUUGAUUUCAAUCCGGGAAAAUUCCAGAGGACUAAAUUCAGAGGAUUUAUGAACAC